Bubalus bubalis (water buffalo) is the source of this 1031-nucleotide long non-coding RNA. RefSeq lists it as uncharacterized. Lineage: Eukaryota; Metazoa; Chordata; Mammalia; Artiodactyla; Bovidae. The record is from RefSeq and is a predicted model, not a curated record. The transcript is spliced from 2 exons.
GAGGUCACGGAGAGGUCGCGACUGCGCUCACCCGUGAGCCAGUGGGCAAGCGGAGGCGGGCUUUUGAGAUCCUGCCGGAUGGUGGAUGCUGGGAUCCACUCCUCUUGCAGCUGCCCGAGGUGCUCUCCCUCCCGACUCUGCCAUCCUCCACACCCACCCUUUUCCUGGUUUGAGUUCAAACCUUAGCAACUAGUUCCGGCAGCUAACAACACCUGCUCACUCAAAAACCUGGCGCACCGUCAAGGGACCGGCACAGAAUCUACUAGUUUGACGCCACGCCUUCCAGAGAAGCCAAGAUGCUGGAGAGAAAGAGAGAGAACACGGCUCAGAGCACUGGCCCCUGGCCACGUGGCCGCCACAGAAGCUCACAUUUGCAUCAGCUUCUUCGGGCCCCCAACCCCGGACCCAGGCCGCAGAGUGCACAGAAAACAGGUGGCAUGCGUGCGCGGCCUCUGGCGGAUGCGCUGAACGCCCACCCCAGAUGCAGCGACCCCCUCCUGGCAGGUUUCUUGGCACCUUCCAGCCCUUCCUGAGCCAGAGGCUCACAGGAGCUGGCUUCCUGGGGCGAGAUGCAGCCCCUUCUUUACAACCAUCCAGGAUCCGUCACUCACCCCCACAGGAACUGGGCGCUGCGUUUUCUAGGUCAUGAAAGCCUCUGCCUACACCUCCCUGCCCACAGCUCCUGCGAGGUCACAGAGACACCAGGCCCAGGAGAGACCCAGAUCAUGGAGGCCUCCAGGAGGAAAAUCGUCAUCCCCAGCCACUGAGCAGCAAAUAGAAGAUUCUGGAACCCUCUGGAACACAGGUCUCCAGGUCUAACCACUUACUGGUCCCAACCUGGACCAGUCAAAUGAUGCCCUGUUUUCACAAAGGUCUCCUCACACCUGGAACAGUUUGACUUUAAAAAGAAAUUUUGUUGUUGUUGUGUUGAAAUGGCUACUGAAUGUUAGCUUUCAAAUUUCAAAUCACUGGAACUUUCUGAGCAUGAAGUUGUUGACCAAAAAAAUACAAAAAUACAUGUAGCCUAAAAG